Molecule: unclassified non-coding RNA, 148 nt
Organism: Callithrix jacchus (white-tufted-ear marmoset)
Lineage: Eukaryota; Metazoa; Chordata; Mammalia; Primates; Cebidae
Rfam family: Metazoan signal recognition particle RNA
About the family: The signal recognition particle (SRP) is a universally conserved ribonucleoprotein. It is involved in the co-translational targeting of proteins to membranes.
Source: Ensembl
GCCAGGCAUGGUGGUGUGCAUCUGUAGUCCCAGCUACUUGGGAGGCUGAGGCAGGAGGCUUACUUGAGCCCAGGAGGUCUAGACUGCAGUGAGCCAUGAUUGUACCACUGCACUCCAGCCUGAGUGACAGAGUGAGAUCCUGUCUCAA